UACAGCUUUGCAGAUGAAUGAAUCAUCAAGUAUGAAGCUGCAAUAUAUUGUCAGUAUCUUGGUUUCUGAUAGAAUUGUUUCUGCAGUUAUGCAAGAUUGAUUCUGAAGGAAAAGCAAGGAAGUUCAUCGGUUGCUCCUGUGUUGUUCUAAAGGAUUUUGGAGAAGAGAUCGAGGCUCGCCAUGUCGUUUUGGAGUAUGUGAAGUCACACUGAGAAGUAUAGCUCUUUCGAUCAAGAGAGGCCUUCCUUAGUUGAAUGCUCUGCGGUUUUGUGAUUGUUAUAGUUGAACCAUGUCUUAUUUUUUACCAGUUUUUGCUCGUGUCAAGUUUGAAACAAUUUCAAUUUAGUCCAUCAUAUUCCAUUAAAUUCCCUGUACGACCAUCUGAUUUGGGAGCUUAGAACUCUGCAUCUUAUCCUUUCAGAUAGUGGUUUAAUGGUUGAUGCUUGAUUCACUC
Molecule: long non-coding RNA, 454 nt
Organism: Syzygium oleosum
Lineage: Eukaryota; Viridiplantae; Streptophyta; Magnoliopsida; Myrtales; Myrtaceae
Exons: 2
Source: RefSeq, a predicted model, not a curated record